This 73-nucleotide transfer RNA is filed under the name Salmo salar (Atlantic salmon). It matches the Rfam family "tRNA". Rfam says of the family: Transfer RNA (tRNA) molecules are approximately 80 nucleotides in length. Their secondary structure includes four short double-helical elements and three loops (D, anti-codon, and T loops). The record is from Rfam by way of RNAcentral. Lineage: Eukaryota; Metazoa; Chordata; Actinopteri; Salmoniformes; Salmonidae.
UCCCGUGUGGCUCAGUUGGUAGAGCAUGGUGUUUGCAAUGCCAGGGUUGUGGGUUUGAUUCCCGCCGGGGGAC